AUCUAGGGUGGUGGUGAAGAGUGGGGCUCUGGAGCCAGGCUGCCUGACUUCAAGUGCCAACUGCCUCUUACAGGCCAUGGGACUCUGGACAAGUUACUUAACCUCUCUAUGCCUCAGUUUUCUCAUCUGUGAAGUGGGGAUUGUAACCCCAACCUCACAAAGUUAUAGUGAGCAUUC
RNAcentral lists this small nucleolar RNA (177 nucleotides) under Ursus americanus (American black bear). RNAcentral's name for it is "Small nucleolar RNA ACA59 (ENSUAMG00000024361.1)". Lineage: Eukaryota; Metazoa; Chordata; Mammalia; Carnivora; Ursidae. The record is from RNAcentral.